UCGUAACAAGGUUUCCGUAGGUGAACCUGCGGAAGGAUCAUUAAAAUAACACUUACACACUGAUUUUGACUAGUAAAUAACCCACCAGUUAAGUUCAAUUACACAAUUAGUAAAACUUUCAACAACGGAUCUCUUGGUUCUCGCAUCGAUGAAGAACGCAGCGAAAUGCGAUACGUAGUAUGACUUGCAGACGUGAAUCAUCGAAUCUUUGAACGCACAUUGCGCCUUGGAGCAUUCUCCAAGGCAUGCCUGUUUGAGCGUGAUUUCUUCUCACCGCACCCGGUGGUUUUGCAUCCGCGCUAAAUAUCAUUCCAGCAGCGAAGUCUACGCUUUCACUGCUCCAUGCUAUUUCCUCAAAUCAGGUAGGACUACCCGCUGAACCUAAGCAUAUCA
RNAcentral lists this unclassified non-coding RNA (393 nucleotides) under Candidozyma vulturna. RNAcentral describes it as "[Candida] vulturna (nom. inval.) sequence contains 18S rRNA gene, ITS1, 5.8S rRNA gene, ITS2, 28S rRNA gene". The stretch from base 114 to 263 matches the Rfam family "5.8S ribosomal RNA". The record is from RNAcentral. Lineage: Eukaryota; Fungi; Ascomycota; Pichiomycetes; Serinales; Metschnikowiaceae.